This 431-nucleotide long non-coding RNA is filed under the name Drosophila guanche. The record is from RNAcentral. Lineage: Eukaryota; Metazoa; Arthropoda; Insecta; Diptera; Drosophilidae.
UUCUUUGAAAUCUAGAUAAGAUUGACAGUCAGAUGUCAGACCUUCUGACAGCUAGAGAGUCCAUGUCAAUCGUGUUUAUUAAAGGUAGAAAUUCCGCUGAAUUAAUUUUAAUUUACAUACAAAUCCCAUCUCAUCUCUCCACUGUUGGUAAUCCUUUUAUUAAGAGUUCAUUCUAGAAGAAAUGCCUUAUAAAUCUUUAACUCAUGCUCUCCUCUAUUAUUGACUGAAGACUUUGUCUGUUUGGUGUGUGUUGAGCAUUUUGUUUUCGCAGUAUGAAAGUUUAUCAAAGUUUUUUUCUAGAUGACCUUUUACUUGCCAACUUCCAAUGAAGUGGCGUCAAAAGCUAUCGCAUUGCACUUGGCCUGUUUAUUUGUUUGGCGCGUGUUUGGUCAUUAGAUACGACACCCGGUCAACAGGCUGCCUGUUCCAAC